GUGCUGCAGAGAAUAAACAGUGAUUCUGAGAGUUCCUCUGCUAGCUCUUUUAGGACUCUGGGAUGGAGCUCAUUAGGCCCUGGAGGACCAUUUCUUUCAUGUCCUUUGCUCAUUCAUGAUUGAGGUGACCCAUCUUUCUGUGCACAGCAGGGCUGCUGGCUUGUUAGGCAAUUCAGGUAGUCAUCAGGCUAAAUCUUGAUUCCUAAUCUCAAAAAGAGGUACCAGUGUUUAGCUCCGCAAUGCAUUGUAAAGUAUAAAGGUCAGUGAGCCCUCAUGUGCCUCCCCCUUUGGCCAGCUGGACUUUAUGCUUUUCAAAAAAAUGUUACAAAUACGGAGACCAGAGGCAGGAGCAAUGCCCUCCUUCUGGAAGUUGCUGCCUCAACUACUUCACGAUAAGUUGUGCCUGCACUGGGUGUGUUGUCCAGAUCAUGUGUUGUAAAAUUUUCGUGCCUGCAGAAGUACUACCACUCUAUCAAAUGAGUACCCUUAACACUUC
Long non-coding RNA from Varanus komodoensis (Komodo dragon), 496 nucleotides. RefSeq lists it as uncharacterized. Lineage: Eukaryota; Metazoa; Chordata; Lepidosauria; Squamata; Varanidae. The record is from RefSeq and is a predicted model, not a curated record. The transcript has 3 exons.